This 492-nucleotide ribosomal RNA is filed under the name uncultured bacterium. RNAcentral describes it as "partial 16S ribosomal RNA". It matches the Rfam family "Bacterial small subunit ribosomal RNA", at positions 29 to 507 of the family's 1533-position model. The record is from RNAcentral.
AGUGGACGCUGGCGGUAGGCCUAACACAUGCAAGUCGAACGGCAGCACAGUAAGAGCUUGCUCUUACGGGUGGCGAGUGGCGGACGGGUGAGGAAUACAUCGGAAUCUACUUUUUCGUGGGGGAUAACGUAGGGAAACUUACGCUAAUACCGCAUACGACCUACGGGUGAAAGCAGGGGAUCUUCGGACCUUGCGCGAUUGAAUGAGCCGAUGUCGGAUUAGCUAGUUGGCGGGGUAAAGGCCCACCAAGGCGACGAUCCGUAGCUGGUCUGAGAGGAUGAUCAGCCACACUGGAACUGAGACACGGUCCAGACUCCUACGGGAGGCAGCAGUGGGGAAUAUUGGACAAUGGGCGCAAGCCUGAUCCAGCCAUACCGCGUGGGUGAAGAAGGCCUUCGGGUUGUAAAGCCCUUUUGUUGGGAAAGAAAAGCAGCAGGUUAAUACCCCGCUGUUCUGACGGUACCCAAAGAAUAAGCACCGGCUGACUUCGUG